RNAcentral lists this ribosomal RNA (291 nucleotides) under uncultured bacterium. Its description in RNAcentral is "partial 16S ribosomal RNA". It matches the Rfam family "Bacterial small subunit ribosomal RNA", at positions 505 to 796 of the family's 1533-position model. The record is from RNAcentral.
GUGCCAGCAGCCGCGGUAAGACAGAGGUGCCAAGCGUUAGGCGGAAUCACUGGGCUUAAAGCGUGUGUAGGCGGAUCGUUAAGUACCUUGUGAAAUCCCACGGCUUAACCGUGGAACUGCUCGGUAUACUGGCGGUCUUGAGCAACCUAGGGGCGAGCGGAACAAAUGGUGGAGCGGUGAAAUGCGUAGGUAUCAUUUGGAACGCCAAUGGUGAAAACAACUCGCUGGGAAUGAUCUGACGCUGAGACACGAAAGCCAGGGGAGCGAACGGGAUUAGAACCCUAGUAGUCC